UUGAGAUCGAUCCUGCUACAACAAACGCUGGCGGCGUGCCUAACACAUGCAAGUCGUACGAGAAAGGGUCCUUCGGGACCUGAGUAAAGUGGCGCACGGGUGAGUAACGCGUGGAUAAUCUGCCCCUCAGUUGGGAACAACCCACCGAAAGGUGGGCUAAUACCGAAUAAUGCUGUCCGAUGCAAGUUGGAUAGCCAAAGGGUGCCUCUGCUUGCAUGCAUCCGCUGAGGGAUGAGUCCGCGUACCAUUAGCUAGUUGGUAGGGUAAUGGCCUACCAAGGCGACGAUGGUUAGCUGGUCUGAGAGGAUGAUCAGCCACACUGGAACUGAGACACGGUCCAGACUCCUACGGGAGGCAGCAGUGAGGAAUCUUGCGCAAUGGGGGCAACCCUGACGCAGCAACGCCGCGUGAGUGAGGAAGGUCUUCGGAUCGUAAAGCUCUGUCAGUUGGGAAGAACCGCUUGGAGGUUAAUAGCCUUCUUGCUUGACGGUACCAACAGAGGAAGCACCGGCUAACUCCGUGCCAGCC
This 528-nucleotide ribosomal RNA is filed under the name uncultured bacterium. RNAcentral's name for it is "bacterial SSU rRNA". It matches the Rfam family "Bacterial small subunit ribosomal RNA", at positions 1 to 513 of the family's 1533-position model. The record is from RNAcentral.